ACCGACCAGGGUACCUCUUCCAUGUCUCGGCUGAUGGCGGACCUUUGCCAGCUCUGGACCUCCGUUUACCAUCCCCAGACAGACUGCCUGGUCGAGCGCUUUAACCAAACAUUGAAAAGGAUGUUGAAGCGAGUUGUGGCAGAGGACCGGCGCAACUGGGAUCUCCUCAUCCCCUAUGUGCUGUUCGGAGUGCGUGAGGUCCCCCAAGCAUCCACGGGAUUCACCCCCUUUGAACUCCUCUUCGGCAGGCAACACCGCGGACUCCUGGACGUCGCCAGGGACACCUGGGAACGGCAGAGCCCAAGCACACAAUGCACAGUGAUAGAAUAUGUCCAGGAGAUGUGAACCCGGAUAGAUCGGGUCAUGCCCCGGGUGAAAGAGCAUCUGGAAGAGGCCAAACAUGCUCAAUGCCCCCUGUACGACCGGCCCGCUCAACCUCGGACUUUCCUCCCGGGGGAUAGAGUGCUGGUUCCUCGCCUCCUGGCAGGGCCCAUAUACCGUUGCUUAAAGUACUCAUUCAUAUCAACUCAAAGUAGUUACAGUACAUCAAUAAUCUCCAAUAAGACCCUGUGGUUCAUCCGGUUGAGGGAACAUAAUAAAUUGAAGUGCUGAUUCACAAAGGGACUGGCCGGUUGUAUGUGAUUCAUUCGCAACCCACAUCUGCCCACGCCUCAAGAUCCCAAUGACAAAAGAUAUGGUUCUUAUAUUACAACGCAUUUCUAUUUUGUGUCCAUCCAUCCAUCUGCAAACCGCUUAGCCUGCACACAGGGUCGCGGGGGGGCUGGAGUCUAUCCCAGCCAACUUACACUCUAGGCUGGUCGCCAGCCAAUCGCAGGGCUAACAGAGACUUACAAUCAUUCACACUCACAUUCACGCACCUACAGGCAAUUUAGAGUUACCAAUCAACCUGAUCCCCAGGGCAUGUCUUUGGACUGCAGGAGGAACCCGGAGAGAACCCACGCAGACACGGGGAGAACAUGCAGACUCCACACAGAAAGGCCACUGGGCGGAGUUGAACCCAGGACCUUCUUGCUGUGAGGCACACCACACCACCGUGCCGCCCUCUAUUUUGUGAGUGGUUUGGGCUGACUGCAGCGUGGCUACCCGGACGACGGUUGGGCUGUUGACUGGGUCCCUCACUUGCUCCUCACAUUUUUCAGUUGUGUGUCAGUCAGUAUAUUCUCUUAUUUUAUUCAUUUUUUUGCUUUUGGUUUUUGAUUGAUAUUGUUUGGCGUGUGUGGAGAACUGGAGCCAGUGAGGGUCCUGUCCCAGGCCCGCUACAGCCCAGUUACCCAUAGAACCGGAGUUGUUUAGUAAAAGCUUUUUGUUAUCUUACUAAAUUCCCUGAGCUGACGGAGAUUGUUUUAAUACAUUGUUUUCAU
This is a long non-coding RNA of Gasterosteus aculeatus aculeatus (three-spined stickleback), 1382 nucleotides long. The record is from Ensembl. Lineage: Eukaryota; Metazoa; Chordata; Actinopteri; Perciformes; Gasterosteidae.